This 1159-nucleotide ribosomal RNA is filed under the name Clostridioides difficile. RNAcentral's name for it is "partial 23S ribosomal RNA". It matches the Rfam family "Bacterial large subunit ribosomal RNA", at positions 1533 to 2703 of the family's 2925-position model. Lineage: Bacteria; Bacillati; Bacillota; Clostridia; Peptostreptococcales; Peptostreptococcaceae. The record is from RNAcentral.
UAGGCAAAUCCGCUUUGAUAAUGCUGGGAUGUGAUGGGGAGCGAAAUUUAGUAGCGAAGUAGCUGAUUUCACACUGUCAAGAAAAGUCUCUAUCGAGGUUAAAGGUACCCGUACCGCAAACCGACACAGGUGGGUGAGGAGAGUAUCCUAAGGCCAGCGAGAGAACUGUUGUUAAGGAACUCGGCAAAAUGACCCCGUAACUUAGGGAUAAGGGGUGCCACCAUCAGGUGGCCGCAGAGAAUAGGCCCAAGCGACUGUUUACCAAAAACAUAGGUUUCUGCUAAGUCGCAAGACGAUGUAUAGGAGCUGACGCCUGCCCGGUGCUGGAAGGUUAAGGGGAUCUGUUAGAGCAAUCGAAGCAGUGAACUUAAGCCCCAGUAAACGGCGGCCGUAACUAUAACGGUCCUAAGGUAGCGAAAUUCCUUGUCGGGUAAGUUCCGACCCGCACGAAAGGCGUAACGAUUUGGGCACUGUCUCAACAACAGACUCGGUGAAAUUGUAAUUCCGGUGAAGAUGCCGGAUACCUGCGACAGGACGGAAAGACCCCAUGGAGCUUUACUGUAGCUUGACAUUGGGUCUUGGUACUACAUGUACAGGAUAGGUGGGAGGCUUUGAAACCAGGACGCCAGUUUUGGCGGAGCCAUCCUUGGGAUACCACCCUUGUAGUACUGGGACUCUAACCAUAGGCCAUGAAUCUGGUCUUGGGACACUGUCAGGUGGGCAGUUUGACUGGGGCGGUCGCCUCCCAAAAGGUAACGGAGGCGCUCAAAGGUUCUCUCAGUACGGUCGGAAAUCGUACGUAGAGUGUAAAGGCAAAAGAGAGCUUGAUUGCAAGACAUACAGGUCGAGCAAGGAUGAAAAUCGGACUUAGUGAUCCGGUGGUUCUGCGUGGAAGGGCCAUCGCUCAACGGAUAAAAGCUACCCUGGGGAUAACAGGCUUAUCUCCCCCAAGAGUCCACAUCGACGGGGAGGUUUGGCACCUCGAUGUCGGCUCAUCACAUCCUGGGGCUGUAGUAGGUCCCAAGGGUUGGGCUGUUCGCCCAUUAAAGUGGUACGCGAGCUGGGUUCAGAACGUCGUGAGACAGUUCGGUCCCUAUCCGUCGCAGGCGUAGGAAAUUUGAGAAGACCUGUCCUUAGUACGAGAGGACCGGGAUGGACG